UGCGGCUCUGUCGCGGAUCGUCAUCCUUGGUAGGUGUUUUCUGUUUUUCUGUCAUUUUCCCUCCAUAACCGCCUGCCAGCUACCAGUGACUAUACAACUCCAGGACAGGAAGAAGAUGCUAACAGAGGCCACACUGGAUGGAAAAGGAGGCUCAGGGAAUUUCUCGGAAGAGGAGAAGGGAUGUAAGAUCUGCAGGAUGGCCUGGCUAUGGUGUUCACUCACAGCAGCUCCAGUGUUUUCAAGCCUACACAAGAUCAAGCCAGCCAAAAUCCCAGCUUAGAGACUGCCAGAUGCUCAAACAAUGGCAUAAAGGACAAGGACAGAUGCAGAAAAAUUGAGGACAAACCCCAAAAUGCGUUGAGCCAGUAACCAUGAAUUCUGUUGCUUUUCCUUGUGCUGCAUUCAUAUGAGUGAAGAAGGCUGGGAGAGGAGGGUCGAGGCCAUAGCUCAACCCAGAGACCGAAGAGGAAGCUCUGGAAAGAACCUAUGCCACAGAAUCAGCAUUCCUCUGAGUUGGGAUUGUUCUAAAUGCACUGCCCCCACUGAAGCCUGCAUAGCUCUAUACACUUUCAUCUCGUGAAGAGGAGCAGCACUCUGAAGAUGGGUAGGAGCUUCAAAGAUUAAAUAGAAGACAUAAAAAGGAUUCUACUUGUAAAAAGCCUAGAAUCAGCUGUUGGAACAAAGUGCCAAGUCUAGGUUUAUUCCUCUCAGAACCUGGAGGGUGAACUUUCUGUUCAUUAUCCCGCCAGUCCAGCAACAGAACACCUCCAGAUGACCAUGUCUUCGGUUUUGCUUUGUUAGCUAUCGCUUAAGUGGGAGCUGAGCCCAGGCUUUGCCUCUGUAACCUAUUAACUGGCGUAGUCUGGUAUCAACGCGGCUGGCUGGUGUCUGGCAAUAGAUACCAUUGGCCGAUGUUCUGACCACGCAAAGAAGUGAUCACAUCUGUUUGAGAGGUAACCACCAAAGAAUGUCGGCGAGAAACACCCCAGGGAGAAGAAAUGCAUCUGCCUCCUUAGAUGGUCGUUUCGGAAACCAGAAGACAAAUGACAAGAUGGAAUAGCACACUGGUGGAAUCCGUGCUAGUACUGGGAAACAGCUUGCAUAUGCAAGAUGGGCCUCAUAUCUGCCACCCCUGGAUCAGAGGAACUGGUGCCAAUAAUGGUAAGUUUCCUAGUAUGACUAACUGACCGAGUGACUAGCUGACACGUCCCCCAUUGUGCUGAUGGGAAAUGAGGUGUUGAUGUAAGGAAACAUUUGGGGCGCGACCUCCCUUGCUGCUCUGAGGUUCCCCUCCCCUUAACAAGUCCGGGGGGGGGGGGGAAGGGCAAAAAGGCUUCAUCUUCAGCUCAGGAGUCCCACUGCUAUUGUUAGCUCUCACUCCAGAGAGAACAAGGAACAAGACUCGGAAAGGACACUCCUUUUGGUGGAUUAGCUUGGAAUGUAUAGGAAUAAUCCUUGAUCCUGUAUAUCAAAAUGUAUUCCAAAUCUCCAAUGUAAAAGCUUUCCCUUAGCUAUUAAAAACCCCAUUUUUCUAGGGAACGUCUAAGAAUAUGCAUGGGUCACUCUAAAUGAUAAUACUGAAAGGAGUUUAAAAGUUGCUUACACCUGAGGCAUUAGCUCAAUUAGUACAGUGCUUGUAGUGCACACAUGAGGACCUAAGUUCAAAUCCAGGAACAGUUCUGAAAACCUAGGCAUGGGACACCAGUUUAUAAUCCCAGUUCCUGGAAGGGAGAGACAGAUGGAUCCCUAGGGCUCACUGGCCAAUCAGCCUAGCCUAACAGGCUAGCAUCAGGCCAAUGUGAGACCUAUCUCAAAAGAAGACGAGAGGCAUUCUUGAGGAACAACAGCUAAGGUUGUCCU
This is a long non-coding RNA of Alexandromys fortis (reed vole), 1860 nucleotides long. RefSeq lists it as uncharacterized. The record is from RefSeq and is a predicted model, not a curated record. The transcript has 6 exons. NCBI's taxonomy places the organism in Eukaryota, Metazoa, Chordata, Mammalia, Rodentia, Cricetidae.